Long non-coding RNA from Rhinichthys klamathensis goyatoka, 440 nucleotides. RefSeq lists it as uncharacterized. The transcript has 4 exons. The record is from RefSeq and is a predicted model, not a curated record. Lineage: Eukaryota; Metazoa; Chordata; Actinopteri; Cypriniformes; Leuciscidae.
CAAGAAUGUCACGCGACUCACCUAUCUGGCAUUCUCUGACUCAACACUUUAACAGAGUCGUUGCCCCUCGACUUUCUGGGCUUUGGUUUUUCAGACAAACCGAAUAAGAGAUGUGUUUGGACCGUUACACCCAGUGACGUGUGGACAGACAUUCACAGUUUGAUGGACAUCUGCUCAGACACAGUUAAAAGCAUAACCGCUGCUGGACAUCGUGCGGGAGCUCAGGGGGGGACCCCAUGAUCCCCCACACCUUCUCACUCACACCACAGCAUUCAUUCAUAUCGCAGAGAUCUGGCUGGAGUCGAACCAGCAACCUCUGAAACCGUGAGGCAGCGCUCUUACCUGUGAGCCACAGAUCUCUUGUCUGGACAUGUGAAGGAACUUAUAUUUCACUAUUCACCUGUAUGUGAGCUGGGAUUUUACAAUAAACCAGUUAAAGC